RNAcentral lists this ribosomal RNA (450 nucleotides) under uncultured bacterium. RNAcentral's name for it is "partial 16S ribosomal RNA". It matches the Rfam family "Bacterial small subunit ribosomal RNA", at positions 354 to 796 of the family's 1533-position model. The record is from RNAcentral.
GUGGGGAAUAUUGGACAAUGGGCGAAAGCCUGAUCCAGCUAUGCCGCGUGUGUGAAGAAGGUCUUCGGAUUGUAAAGCACUUUAAGUUGGGAGGAAGGGCAUUAACCUAAUACGUUAGUGUUUUGACGUUACCAACAGAAUAAGCACCGGCUAACUUCGUGCCAGCAGCCGCGGUAAUACGAAGGGUGCAAGCGUUAAUCGGAAUUACUGGGCGUAAAGCGCGCGUAGGUGGUUCAGCAAGUUGAAGGUGAAAUCCCCGGGCUCAACCUGGGAACUGCCUCCAAAACUACUGAGCUAGAGUACGGUAGAGGGUAGUGGAAUUUCCUGUGUAGCGGUGAAAUGCGUAGAUAUAGGAAGGAACACCAGUGGCGAAGGCGACUACCUGGACUGAUACUGACACUGAGGUGCGAAAGCGUGGGGAGCAAACAGGAUUAGAUACCCGUGUAGUCC